AUGUGGCCGCGCCGCCGCAGCUGGAGCGGGAGCGGCCGCCAGAGGAGCGCGGGGAGGAGGAGGAGGAGGAGGAGGAGGAGGAGGAGGAGGAGGAGGAGGAGAAUGAGGAGGAGGGCUUCAGUGGCGGCCCGGAGUUACCUCCACGCUCGGCUCCCCCGCCCUUGCCGCCCGGAGCCACUCACCCGACGAGCCACCUCCCCUCCUCCCCGCGCUCCCCUCGCCGCUUCGGGCCGCAGGCGGUGCCGCCCCGCCGCCGAGUCCUGGGGUGAGCCGGCUCCGGGUAGGGGCCCCGGCCACGGGGGGCUGUCACUGUGUGGAGGUGCCCCGGGCGCCCCCGGGGUCCGCCUCCGCGUCCGCGUCCGCCUGCCCGGCUGCGCCAAGUGCGCGCACCGCUGCCGAGGUCGCUGUCGCGGGCGAGGGCAGACCUCGUGCGAGCGGAGGCUCGGGGCUGUGGGUGCGUGGGGUGCCUGGGCGGGUUUGGAGAGCUUUAUUAACAAAGUGGAGUUGGGAGUUGUGGUGCGGCACCGAGGGGACGCAGGACCAGCCAGGUGUCCGUCUGCGACCGUGCGCCCCUUGGCGACGCUGGCGUGCGUGUGUACAGGGACGGCGGGUGCAGGGACGCCCAGGAGGGUCUUGGCGCUCGCUCGCUCCUGGACGGCGGCCGCAGUCCCCGCGGCGCCGGGUAGAGCCUGGAGAGCGAGGCGGGUCGAUUCCGCGGGGUGUGGGGCCGGCGGAGCGCGCAGGUGGCGCGGCGGGGAGGCGCCGGGGCUGGAGCCCGCAGCUCGGCCGCGCAGGACGUCGGUGCGGCGCGGGCGGUCAGCCUCGGCUCGGGCGGUCGCGGGCCGCGGGGCUCACCCCGGAGGCGCUGCUCCCGGACCGGGCCUAGGGGCCGCGCUCGCACAGCCGCCGCUCCUGGGCCGCCGCCUCAUGACCGCGCCGCAGCCUCGGGCUCCCGCGCGCCGCUCAUGCCGUGCUGGGGGCCUGGGGCGAGCGCAGGGGCUCCGGGGGCGCUGCGGGCGCAGGGUCCGGGCCUCGGCUGCGGGAGCGAGCUGCGUCCGGUGGCGGCCUCGGAUCCCGCGGGGCCGGCGCGCCUUCCCCUCCCUCGCGGUCCGGUCGCGGCUCCCGCCUUCCCGGGCGGCUCGGAGCGGCGGGCGCGCAGCCCGGCUGCGGCCUUUUAUAGGGCGCCUCCUCCGCCUCCUGCCGGGUUCCCGCCUCCCCCUUCCCUGCGCCCGCCCCCUGGGCCCUCCCCGCGAGCCGAGCCCUCAGCCUAGGCGUCCGCACACGUUCGUGUCGCAGAUUUCCAAGCCUGCCUCGCUCCUGGGACUCCAGUGCGCCGGGACUGAUCCUUCCGAUUCUCCUUCGGUGACCGAAAUUGAAUAA
Molecule: long non-coding RNA, 1380 nt
Filed under: Canis lupus familiaris (dog)
Lineage: Eukaryota; Metazoa; Chordata; Mammalia; Carnivora; Canidae
Description: lncRNA (ENSCAFG00040006032.1)
Source: RNAcentral